This 770-nucleotide ribosomal RNA is filed under the name uncultured Neocallimastigales. Its description in RNAcentral is "partial large subunit ribosomal RNA". It matches the Rfam family "Eukaryotic large subunit ribosomal RNA", at positions 22 to 646 of the family's 3401-position model. The record is from RNAcentral. Lineage: Eukaryota; Fungi; Neocallimastigomycota; Neocallimastigomycetes; Neocallimastigales.
UACACGCUGUGACUAGCAUAUCAAUAAGCGGAGGAAAAGAAACUAACAAGGAUUCCCUCAGUAACGGCGAGUGAAGCGGGAAGAGCUCAAAUUUGAAAUCUUCAAGGUUUUACCUUGACGAAUUGUAGUUUAAAGAAGUGUUUUCUGCUGAAGUUUUGGUAAAAGUUCUUUGGAAUAGGACAUCACAGAGGGUGAGAAUCCCGUCUAUGAUUGCGAUUUGUAGCUUUGUGAUACACUUUCAAAGAGUCGGGUUGUUUGGGAAUGCAGCCCAAAACGGGAGGUAAAUUUCUUCUAAGGCUAAAUAUUGGCGAGAGACCGAUAGCGAACAAGUACCGUGAGGGAAAGAUGAAAAGAACUUUGAAAAGAGAGUUAAAUAGUACGUGAAAUUGUCAAAAGGGAAGCGUUUAACACCAGUGUUGUUUUCUGAAAAUCAACCUCUGUUAGCUUUAUGCAUGUUUGUUUAGACCUAAUCAGCUAUCUUGCAUGUUCUAUUGUUUGCAGUGGUGCACUUUUCAGUUUACAGGUCAACAUCAGUUUUUUUUACCGUAAAAAAGUUAAAGAAAGGUAGCUCAUGGCUCCGGUCGUGAGUGUUAUAGUCUUUUUCCUAUGCGGUAGGAGAGACUGAGGUCUGCAGUGUAGGCUAUUUGGCUAGAUACUCAGGUGCUAUGUGAUACCAUUUCAUAAACAACUUGUUGAUUAUGUUUUGUCUAUUGCAUACUCGCUUGUACUAUCAUACCUACGCUUAGGAUGUUGAGUAGCGACAUACGCAC